RNAcentral lists this ribosomal RNA (1035 nucleotides) under Zygosaccharomyces bailii. RNAcentral's name for it is "SSU rRNA". It matches the Rfam family "Eukaryotic small subunit ribosomal RNA", at positions 71 to 1110 of the family's 1831-position model. Lineage: Eukaryota; Fungi; Ascomycota; Saccharomycetes; Saccharomycetales; Saccharomycetaceae. The record is from RNAcentral.
AAUUUAUACAGUGAAACUGCGAAUGGCUCAUUAAAUCAGUUAUCGUUUAUUUGAUAGUUCCUUUACUACAUGGUAUAACUGUGGUAAUUCUAGAGCUAAUACAUGCUUAAAAUCUCGACCUUUUGGAAGAGAUGUAUUUAUUAGAUAAAAAAUCAACGUCUUCGGACUCCUUGAUGAUUCAUAAUAACUUUUCGAAUCGCAUGGCCUUGUGCUGGCGAUGGUUCAUUCAAAUUUCUGCCCUAUCAACUUUCGAUGGUAGGAUAGUGGCCUACCAUGGUUUCAACGGGUAACGGGGAAUAAGGGUUCGAUUCCGGAGAGGGAGCCUGAGAAACGGCUACCACAUCCAAGGAAGGCAGCAGGCGCGCAAAUUACCCAAUCCUGAUACAGGGAGGUAGUGACAAUAAAUAACGAUACAGGGCCCUUACGGGUCUUGUAAUUGGAAUGAGUACAAUGUAAAUACCUUAACGAGGAACAAUUGGAGGGCAAGUCUGGUGCCAGCAGCCGCGGUAAUUCCAGCUCCAAUAGCGUAUAUUAAAGUUGUUGCAGUUAAAAAGCUCGUAGUUGAACUUUGGGCCUGGUCGGCCGGUCCGGAUCUUUCCGUGUACUGGUUUUAAUUCGACCGGGCCUUUCCUUCUGGCUAGCCCUGGGUCCUUGUGGCCCUUGGUGAACCAGGACUUUUACUUUGAAAAAAUUAGAGUGUUCAAAGCAGGCGUUUCGCUCGAAUAUAUUAGCAUGGAAUAAUAAAAUAGGACGUUUGGUUCUAUUUUGUUGGUUUCUAGGACCAUCGUAAUGAUUAAUAGGGACGGUCGGGGGCAUCAGUAUUCAGUUGUCAGAGGUGAAAUUCUUGGAUUUACUGAAGACUAACUACUGCGAAAGCAUUUGCCAAGGACGUUUUCAUUAAUCAAGAACGAAAGUUAGGGGAUCGAAGAUGAUCAGAUACCGUCGUAGUCUUAACCAUAAACUAUGCCGACUAGGGAUCGGGUGGUGUUUUUUUACUGACCCACUCGGCACCUUACGAGAAAUCAAAGUCUUUGG